AACGAACGCUGGCGGCAUGCCUAACACAUGCAAGUCGAACGAGACCUUCGGGUCUAGUGGCGCACGGGUGCGUAACGCGUGGGAACCUGCCCUUAGGUUCGGAAUAACUCCCCGAAAGGGGUGCUAAUACCGGAUAAUGUCUUCGGACCAAAGAUUUAUCGCCUUUGGAUGGGCCCGCGUUGGCUUAGCUAGUUGGUAGGGUAAAAGCCUACCAAGGCUACGAUCCAUAGCUGGUCUGAGAGGAUGAUCAGCCACACUGGGAGUGAGACACGGCCCAGACUCUUACGGGAGGCAGCAGUGGGGAAUAUUGGACAAUGGGCGAAAGCCUGAUCCAGCAAUGCCGCGUGAGUGAUGAAGGCCUUAGGGUUGUAAAGCUCUUUUACCCGGGAUGAUAAUGACAGUACCGGGAGAAUAAGCUCCGGCUAACUCCGUG
Molecule: ribosomal RNA, 433 nt
Filed under: uncultured bacterium
Lineage: Bacteria
Description: partial 16S ribosomal RNA
Rfam family: Bacterial small subunit ribosomal RNA
Source: RNAcentral